UGCCGGCGAGUGGCGAACGGGUGAGUAACAUAUUGGAAUGUACCGAGUAGUGGGGGAUAACCAAUCGAAAGAUUGGCUAAUACCGCAUACGUCCUGAGGGGGAAAGCAGGGGAUCUUCGGACCUUGCGCUAUUUGAGCAGCCAAUAUCUGAUUAGCUAGUUGGUGGGGUAAAGGCCCACCAAGGCGACGAUCAGUAGCGGGUCUGAGAGGAUGAUCCGCCACACUGGGACUGAGACACGGCCCAGACUCC
This 250-nucleotide ribosomal RNA is filed under the name uncultured Neisseriaceae bacterium. RNAcentral describes it as "partial 16S ribosomal RNA". It matches the Rfam family "Bacterial small subunit ribosomal RNA", at positions 86 to 339 of the family's 1533-position model. The record is from RNAcentral. Lineage: Bacteria; Pseudomonadati; Pseudomonadota; Betaproteobacteria; Neisseriales; Neisseriaceae.